RNAcentral lists this ribosomal RNA (1127 nucleotides) under uncultured organism. RNAcentral's name for it is "bacterial SSU rRNA". It matches the Rfam family "Bacterial small subunit ribosomal RNA", at positions 262 to 1420 of the family's 1533-position model. The record is from RNAcentral.
GGCGCACCAAGCCGAUGACGGGUACCUGGUCUGAGAGGACGAUCAGGCAGACUGGGACUGAGACACGGCCCAGACUCCUACGGGAGGCAGCAGCAAGGAAUUUUCCGCAAUGGGCGCAAGCCUGACGGAGCAACGCCGCGUGCCGGAAGACGGCCUUCGGGUUGUAAACGGCUUUUGUUGGGGAAGAAACGGACGGUACCCAACGAAUAAGCCCCGGCUAACUCCGUGCCAGCAGCCGCGGUAAGACGGAGGGGGCAAGCGUUGUCCGGACUCACUGGGCGUAAAGCGUGCGUAGGCGGUACGGAGCGUCGCUACUGAAAGCAUCCGGCUCAACCGGGUGAGGUGUAGCGAUACGUCCGAACUGGAGGCAAGGAGAGGUGUGCAGAAUUCCGGGUGUAGUGGUGAAAUGCGUAGAUAUCCGGAGGAAUGUCGGUGGCGAAGGCGGCACACUGGUCUUGACCUGACGCUGAGGCACGAAGGCGUGGGGAGCAAACCGGAUUAGAUACCCGGGUAGUCCACGCAGUAAACGAUGUCGGCUCGGUGUAUCGUGGUGGCAACACCAUGGUGUGCCCAAGCUCACGCGGUAAGCCGACCGCCUGGGGACUACGAGCGCAAGCUUAAAACUCAAAGGAAUUGACGGGGGCCCGCACAAGCAGCGGAGCGUGUGGUUUAAUUCGACGCAACGCGAAGAACCUUACCCAGGUUUGACAUGCAGCUGCAAGCGCACGGAAACGUGUGACCUUCGAGGGUGCUGCACAGGUGCUGCAUGGCCGUCGUCAGCUCGUGUCGUGAGAUGUUGGGUUAAGUCCCGCAACGAGCGCAACCCUCGCCGUCAGUUACAAGUGUCUGGCGGGACAGCCCUCGCUAUAGGGGAGGAAGGCGGGGAUGACGUCAAGUCAGCAUGGCCCUUACGCCUGGGGCGACACACACGCUACAAUGCCGACCACAAUGCGCUGCAACCACGCAAGUGCAAGCUAAUCGCCAAAGGUCGGCUCAGUGCAGAUCGGGGGCUGCAACUCGCCCCCGUGAAGGCGGAGUUGCUAGUAACCGCGUAUCAGCCAUGGCGCGGUGAAUACGUACCCGGGCCUUGUACACACCGCCCGUCACGUCAUGGGAGUUGGUAAUGC